This 564-nucleotide ribosomal RNA is filed under the name uncultured bacterium. RNAcentral's name for it is "bacterial SSU rRNA". It matches the Rfam family "Bacterial small subunit ribosomal RNA", at positions 338 to 916 of the family's 1533-position model. The record is from RNAcentral.
CCUACGGGAGGCAGCAGUGGGGAAUCUUGUGCAAUGGACGAAAGUCUGACACAGCCACGCCGCGUGCGGGAAGAAGGCCUUCGGGUUGUAAACCGCUUUCAGCAGGAACGAAAAUGACGGUACCUGCAGAAGAAGAUGCGGCCAACUACGUGCCAGCAGCCGCGGUGAUACGUAGGCAUCAAGCGUUGUCCGGAUUUAUUGGGCGUAAAGAGCUCGUAGGCGGUUCAGCAAGUCGGGUGUGAAAACUCUGGGCUUAACCCAGAGCCUGCACUCGAAACUGCUGUGACUAGAGUUCGGUAGGGGAGCAGGGAAUUCCUAGUGUAGCGGUGAAAUGCGCAGAUAUUAGGAGGAACACCAAUGGCGAAGGCACUGCUCUGGGCCGAUACUGACGCUGAGGAGCGAGAGCGUGGGUAGCAAACAGGAUUAGAUACCCUGGUAGUCCACGCCGUAAACGAUGGGCACUAGGUGUGGGUCUCUAACCAACGAGAUCUGCACCGUCGCUAACGCAUUAAGUGCCCCGCCUGGGGAGUACGGUCGCAAGACUAAAACUUAAGGAAUUGACGG